RNAcentral lists this unclassified non-coding RNA (231 nucleotides) under Hevea brasiliensis (rubber tree). The record is from RNAcentral. Lineage: Eukaryota; Viridiplantae; Streptophyta; Magnoliopsida; Malpighiales; Euphorbiaceae.
GCAUUUCUGCACACAACAACACAGAAUCCCUACCUAAUAAAAAUCUCCCAAAAUGGUUCUAGGUGGACACCCAAUGGUUUGGUUCCACGCGUCGAAACCUCACCUCUACGCCCUAGCACAUGAGAUCAUCUCUCCAAGCGUAUUAUUCACAUCUGCAAGAAGCGAGCGAGCUGGCUUGGAUUGACAACGCCAGGUAAGUGGGACCCUCCCGCUUUCAACAAACUUGAUACC